Molecule: long non-coding RNA, 698 nt
Filed under: Triticum aestivum (bread wheat)
Lineage: Eukaryota; Viridiplantae; Streptophyta; Magnoliopsida; Poales; Poaceae
Description: long non-coding RNA (TAES_LNC019977)
Source: RNAcentral
AUUGAUGUCAGCAAGCACGGCAUGGGCGACGCUUAUGAGGUAUUUGACCAAAUGCCCGCAAUGGGAGUUUAUCUCCUUUUUUUCCCUAUUUUAACGCUAAAUGCUGUUGAAUUGUCACUAAUUGAUUGUUCCGUUCAUUGCUAGUGCCAAUUAUUUCAUGAGCAUGAUGAGUGGUUGUGUGUGCAUAGACGGGAUCAACUGCUCGAUGCCAAAUUCUCAAGUAGAAGAUGUCGUGGAGUUGCUUCGCACUCCGUUUGAUAAGGGGCGAAGAUCGGCCAAUUACACGGUGUGUGAGGAUGAGACAUCGGUGAUGGCAUGGGAGAAUGUGACACUUGAUGCGGUCAUGGGAAAUAAUCAAACCGGUGCCAACUGUUGGAAGGACAUUAUGGAGGAAAAUCAUCGCAAUGCAAAGAUGCCCUCCUAUCAGGAUGAAGUAUUUCGAUUUAUGUUGUGCAUUUGGAUGUUGUAUAUAUAUUGAAAAAUUUGAAGUUAUGGCAUUGUAACAUAUAAGUUUGAAUUCUUGUUAUGUAAGUUGGAGUUGAAUAUGUAUGCAGAGAAGAUAAAUUGAAAGGGAUGAAUGUAGGAGAUGCAGUUUUAAGGGAUCUGUUGGAGUUGAGCACCUUGGAUUGUGCGUGCCUUGAUGAAAUCCCUGUCAAACCGAUGGUUCUUUUGCGGCUCAUAUCAAAUGUCCAUUCCAG